Molecule: non-coding RNA, 93 nt
Organism: Mycena epipterygia
Lineage: Eukaryota; Fungi; Basidiomycota; Agaricomycetes; Agaricales; Mycenaceae
Source: the annotation of a GenBank genome assembly
GACCUGAUAGCACAAUGUCGAGUGCAUCUGCUUCUUGUGCCUCAAAUAGCACAUCUCAAACAGGAGACCCCGGUUCGAUUCCGGGUCAGGUCA